Ochotona princeps (American pika) is the source of this 679-nucleotide long non-coding RNA. RefSeq lists it as uncharacterized. The transcript is spliced from 5 exons. The record is from RefSeq and is a predicted model, not a curated record. NCBI's taxonomy places the organism in Eukaryota, Metazoa, Chordata, Mammalia, Lagomorpha, Ochotonidae.
AUGAAUCCUUUCCUGCUUCUAUUGGUGCAGUUCUGGUUGUGUCACGCAACCUUGUAAAUGGGGCCUGACUAUAUUCUCUGGUUUGAAAGGCAUCCGGAAAGCUACGCCUCUUGCUACCAUUGUUCCCUAGCAGGCUUUGCAAAUGCUCCCUCAAACCUGGAGAGCCGUGUCUGAUGUCAAAACCACUGACAGCCGCUGAAGGAGCAGCUUGGAGGCCUUGUCCACGGGUGCGUCAGUCACAUUACUGUCAUCCAUGAAAGGCAGCACAGGACUUUGUGUCUCCCUAAAUUUAUUUUAUCUUUAUUAGAAAGUCAUAUAUGCAGACAAGAGAAGGGACAGAGAGGAAGAUCCUCCAUCUGCUGAUUCACUCCCGAAGUGGCUGCAACAGCCAGAGCUGCACUUAUCCAAAGCCAGGAGCCUAGAGUUUCCUCUGGGUCUCUCAUGUCAAGAGCUUCUCUCAGGAUAUGGCAACUUUGAACAUAUCCCCACCAACCCUAGAUUUUCAUCUACAGGAGCCAAGAAUGAGAUGGCAGAAGUCUACUGCCAUCCUGAAGAGAGGAGUGCAGUAACCCGAAAGCCAAGGAUCUGAAAUCCUAAGGAAGAAGGCAGUGAUGAAUAUGCCGCGCCACCCCCUAACAGAUUAAGAUGUGCUGAGGUGCAGCCUGUUUCAGAGGUACAU